ACAAAUAGCACAAUAAACAUCCUUCCAUAUGCUUCCUUGUGCAUAGGUGUGACUGCUUCUUUACACAUUUACAUCACAUGCUUUGUGCUGAAGUAUGUUAAGACCAUUUCUAUGAGACUCCUGAAGAAUACAGCAUCGGGGCAAAAGGACUAUAAAUUUACCAUCUGCUCUAAGACUUUUUGGCCAUAAAGACCGCAGUUAAAACUAUGUUAAUAGCUCAGUUCAGACAAGAAUGAUUCCUUAAUUUUCAUGUCUUAUAGGGUAAGUUAAUUAAAUCCAUUAAGGCUAUUUUAUCACUCCAUAGGCUACUCAGGUUU
Molecule: long non-coding RNA, 317 nt
Filed under: Canis lupus familiaris (dog)
Lineage: Eukaryota; Metazoa; Chordata; Mammalia; Carnivora; Canidae
Description: lncRNA (ENSCAFG00845029865.1)
Source: RNAcentral